RNAcentral lists this transfer RNA (68 nucleotides) under Colletotrichum orbiculare MAFF 240422. RNAcentral describes it as "tRNA-Lys (CTT) (tRNA-Lys-CTT-6-1)". The stretch from base 4 to 59 matches the Rfam family "tRNA", at positions 8 to 63 of the family's 71-position model. From Rfam's summary of the family: Transfer RNA (tRNA) molecules are approximately 80 nucleotides in length. Their secondary structure includes four short double-helical elements and three loops (D, anti-codon, and T loops). Lineage: Eukaryota; Fungi; Ascomycota; Sordariomycetes; Glomerellales; Glomerellaceae. The record is from RNAcentral.
GGCUAGCUCAAUCGGUAGAGCGUGAGACUCUUAAUCUCAAGGUUGUGGGUUCGACCCGUAAGCGCUCA